AUUGAACGCUGGCGGCAGGCCUAACACAUGCAAGUCGAGCGGAUGAAGGGAGCUUGCUCCUGGAUUCAGCGGCGGACGGGUGAGUAAUGCCUAGGAAUCUGCCUGGUAGUGGGGGAUAACGUCCGGAAACGGGCGCUAAUACCGCAUACGUCCUGAGGGAGAAAGUGGGGGAUCUUCGGACCUCACGCUAUCAGAUGAGCCUAGGUCGGAUUAGCUAGUUGGUGGGGUAAAGGCCUACCAAGGCGACGAUCCGUAACUGGUCUGAGAGGAUGAUCAGUCACACUGGAACUGAGACACGGUCCAGACUCCUACGGGAGGCAGCAGUGGGGAAUAUUGGACAAUGGGCGAAAGCCUGAUCCAGCCAUGCCGCGUGUGUGAAGAAGGUCUUCGGAUUGUAAAGCACUUUUAGUUGGGAGGAAGAGCAGUAAGUUAAUACCUUGCUGUUUUGACGUUACCAACAGAAUAAGCACCGGCUAACUACGUG
RNAcentral lists this ribosomal RNA (484 nucleotides) under uncultured bacterium. Its description in RNAcentral is "partial 16S ribosomal RNA". It matches the Rfam family "Bacterial small subunit ribosomal RNA", at positions 30 to 507 of the family's 1533-position model. The record is from RNAcentral.